UUGGAGGGCAAGUCUGGUGCCAGCAGCCGCGGUAAUUCCAGCUCCAAUAGCGUAUAUUAAAGUUGUUGCAGUUAAAAAGCUCGUAGUUGAAUUUCGGGGUUAGUAGGUUGGUCAUGCCUCUGGUAUGUACUGGUCUCACUGAUUCCUCCUUCCUGAUGAACCUUAAUGCCAUUAAUUUGGUGUUUUGGGGAAUUUGGACUGUUACUUUGAAAAAAUUAGAGUGUUUAAAGCAAGCUAACGCUUGAAUACAUUAGCAUGGAAUAAUGAAAUAGGACGUUCGAUCCUAUUUUGUUGGUUUCUAGGAUUGACGUAAUGAUUAAUAGGGAUAGUUGGGGGCAUUAGUAUUCAAUUGUCAGAGGUGAAAUUCUUGGAUUUAUUGAAGACUAACUACUGCGAAAGCAUUUGCCAAGGAUGUUUUCAUUAAUCAAGAACGAAAGUUAGGGGGUCGAAGACGAUCAGAUACCGUCGUAGUCUUAACCAUAAACUAUGCCGACUAGGAAUCGGACGAAGUUAAUUUUUUAAUGACUCGUUCGGCGCCUUACGGGAAAC
This 549-nucleotide ribosomal RNA is filed under the name uncultured Rhizophagus. RNAcentral describes it as "SSU rRNA". It matches the Rfam family "Eukaryotic small subunit ribosomal RNA", at positions 548 to 1098 of the family's 1831-position model. The record is from RNAcentral. Lineage: Eukaryota; Fungi; Glomeromycota; Glomeromycetes; Glomerales; Glomeraceae.